GGUGAUGGAAUUGAUGGUGGUGAUGGUCAAGGUGGUGGUGAUGGUCAAAUUGGUGAGGGUGAAGAUGGCAUUGGUCUAAAGACAGAAUCUGUAAAGUCACAGUUUACGCUUAUGACAAAUGAUGAUGGUGAUGAUCAUGCUGAUAAUGAGCAUGGUGAUGAUGAGCAUAGUGAUGAUCAUGGUGAUGAUGAGCAUGGUGAUGAUCAUGGAGGUGAUGAUGGUAAUGAAAAAGGUACUCUAGUGCAUGGCGACGAUGGUGGUGAUGAUAAUGAUGACAAUGGACAAGAAACAG
Molecule: long non-coding RNA, 292 nt
Organism: Saccostrea cuccullata (small rock oyster)
Lineage: Eukaryota; Metazoa; Mollusca; Bivalvia; Ostreida; Ostreidae
Exons: 2
Source: RefSeq, a predicted model, not a curated record